ACGCUCGACACCUACGGAGGCAGCAGUUAGGAAUAUUGGGCAAUGGAGGAAACUCUGACCCAGCAACGCCGCGUGAAGGAAGAAGGUUUUCGGAUUGUAAACUUCUGAUCUAGGGGAAGAAGGAAGUGACGGUACCCUAGGAGAAAGCCACGGCUAACUACGUGGCAGCAGCCGCGGUAAUCUGAGCGGGCUGGCAAGGC
Molecule: ribosomal RNA, 200 nt
Filed under: uncultured bacterium
Lineage: Bacteria
Description: partial 16S ribosomal RNA
Rfam family: Bacterial small subunit ribosomal RNA
Source: RNAcentral